RNAcentral lists this ribosomal RNA (424 nucleotides) under uncultured bacterium. RNAcentral describes it as "partial 16S ribosomal RNA". It matches the Rfam family "Bacterial small subunit ribosomal RNA", at positions 360 to 776 of the family's 1533-position model. The record is from RNAcentral.
AAUAUUGGACAAUGGGCGAAAGCCUGAUCCCGCCAUGCCGCGUGUGUGAAGAAGGUCUACGGAUANUAAAGCACUUUAAGUUGGGANGAAGGGCAGUAAGUUACUACCUUGCUGUUUUGACGUUACCGACAGAAUAAGCACCGGCUAACUUCGUGCCAGCAGCCGCGGUAAUACGAAGUGUGCAAGCGUUAAUCGGAAUUAUUGGGCGUAAAGCGCGCGUAGGUGGUUUGUUAAGUUGGAAGUGAAAGCCCCGGGCUUAACCUGGGAAUUGCUUUCAAAACUGACGAGCUAGAGUACGGUAGAGGGUAGUGGAAUUUCCUGUGUAGCGGUGAAAUGCGUAGAUAUAGGAAGGAACAUCAGUGGCGAAGGCGACUACCUGGACUGAUACUGACACUGAGGUGCGAAAGCGUGGGGAGCAAACAGG